Molecule: small nuclear RNA, 107 nt
Organism: Cebus imitator (Panamanian white-faced capuchin)
Lineage: Eukaryota; Metazoa; Chordata; Mammalia; Primates; Cebidae
Source: Ensembl
GUACUCGCUUCAGCAGCACAUAUACUAAAAUUGUAACAAUAGGGAGAAGAUUAGCAUGGCCCCUGUACAGGGGUGACAUGCAAAUUCGUGAAGCAUUCUAUAUUUUU